UCACCGCUUUCAGAAUAUAUA
This 21-nucleotide non-coding RNA is filed under the name Caenorhabditis elegans. The record is from RNAcentral. Lineage: Eukaryota; Metazoa; Nematoda; Chromadorea; Rhabditida; Rhabditidae.